AAAUGCCUUGGAUUCUAGGAGGAAUAUAAUGAGGAGCAUGACAAUUCCAAACGGAAGCAGAAGGUGCUUUUCGUCCGGAGCGGGGGGCCGCCUGAGAAUUACAAAGAAACCUUAAAAGGUGGAUUUUGUGCUCAGAAUAUAGGGAUUUCCCUGGCUUAAAAAGCAAUAUAGACAAACUUAUUGCAUUCCUUUCACCUUCCGAGAUCCUAUUCAUGGUGCACACCUUUCCCCGGGACUUUCCUCUGCUCGAGAUCUUGGAACCACGGGAUAUCCGCAAAAUAAUCGCUCACUCGCACAAGCAGUGGAAGCCACCCAAAAAGGGGGGCUAGUAAUUAGUUUUUUUUUGGUAGGUUUGUUUUGUUUUGUUUCUCGAAUUGGUAGGUUUCUCGGGAAAUAGAGAUACCGAGUCCCACCAACCUACUACUUGUUGGUUUGGUGGGGAAAGAAGAGCGGGAACGAGGGCUUCUUUCACUGUUUCCCUAAGUUCAAAA
This 491-nucleotide long non-coding RNA is filed under the name Hordeum vulgare. RNAcentral's name for it is "long non-coding RNA (HVUL_LNC012595)". The record is from RNAcentral. Lineage: Eukaryota; Viridiplantae; Streptophyta; Magnoliopsida; Poales; Poaceae.